GACGAACGCUGGCGGCGUGCUUAACACAUGCAAGUCGAACGGAAAGGCCCUGCUUUUGUGGGGUGCUCGAGUGGCGAAAGGGUGAGUAACCCGUGAGUAACCUGCCCUUGACUUUGGGAUAACUUCAGGAAACUGGGGCUAAUACCGGAUAGGAGCUCCUGCUGCAUGGAGGGGGUUGGAAAGUUUCGGCGGUUGGGGAUGGACUCGCGGCUUAUCAGCUUGUUGGUGGGGUAGUGGCUUACCAAGGCUUUGACGGGUAGCCGGCCUGAGAGGGUGACCGGCCACAUUGGGACUGAGAUACGGCCCAGACUCCUACGGGAGGCAGCAGUGGGGAAUAUUGCACAAUGGGCGGAAGCCUGAUGCAGCAACGCCGCGUGCGGGAUGACGGCCUUCGGGUUGUAAACCGCUUUCGCCUGUGACGAAGCGUGAGUGACGGUAAUGGGUAAAGAAGCACCGGCUAACUACGUG
This 468-nucleotide ribosomal RNA is filed under the name uncultured bacterium. RNAcentral's name for it is "partial 16S ribosomal RNA". It matches the Rfam family "Bacterial small subunit ribosomal RNA", at positions 28 to 507 of the family's 1533-position model. The record is from RNAcentral.